This is a long non-coding RNA of Xiphophorus hellerii (green swordtail), 365 nucleotides long. RefSeq lists it as uncharacterized. NCBI's taxonomy places the organism in Eukaryota, Metazoa, Chordata, Actinopteri, Cyprinodontiformes, Poeciliidae. The record is from RefSeq and is a predicted model, not a curated record. The transcript is spliced from 3 exons.
GUUCUUCCCUCUUACGGAGCAUUUCUCGCUGGAAGCGAGCAACAGAGCGAAGCAACUCGUCGUCUCCCAUCUCCGAUGGCGGCAGAACGAUACUGCAGUCCAAGAAGUUGUUGAUGGCAUUCAGCAGGUCCUGCCUGUCGUCCGCCAGCACGCCCAACCAAGGCCGCCAUCUUGUGGCGUAUGUGAGCGAGUUUUACAGCUUCUAUUUAGUUGGACUUUAUAUUCAGACAUGAGGGUGGAGAUUGAGCGUCCAAUCUGAUGGUAGUCCAUGCUGGUGGUUGGAGGUCCAAGCAGAACGAAGAGGAAUCUGACGGGCACAGGAACUUCCAGAACGGACUCCAGUUCCACCGCCUCUUGGAGCCUCA